UGGGGAAUAUUGCACAAUGGGCGGAAGCCUGAUGCAGCGACGCCGUGUGGGGGAUGAAGGCCUUCGGGUUGUAAACUCCUUUCGACAGGGACGAAGCUUUUGUGACGGUACCUGUAUAAGAAGCACCGGCUAACUACGUGCCAGCAGCCGCGGUAAUACGUAGGGUGCGAGCGUUGUCCGGAAUUACUGGGCGUGAAGAGCUCGUAGGUGGUUUGUCGCGUCGUCUGUGAAAUUCCGGGGCUUAACUCCGGGCGUGCAGGCGAUACGGGCUGACUUGAGUGCUGUAGGGGAGACUGGAAUUCCUGGUGUAGCGGUGAAAUGCGCAGAUAUCAGGAGGAACACCGAUGGCGAAGGCAGGUCUCUGGGCAGUAACUGACGCUGAGGAGCGAAAGCAUGGGUAGCGAACAGGAUUAGAUACCCUGGUAGUCCAUGCCGUAAACGGUGGGCGCUAGGUGUAGGGGGCUUCCACGUCUUCUGUGCCGUAGCUAACGCAUUAAGCGCCCCGCCUGGGGAGUACGGCCGCAAGGCUA
RNAcentral lists this ribosomal RNA (530 nucleotides) under uncultured bacterium. RNAcentral describes it as "bacterial SSU rRNA". It matches the Rfam family "Bacterial small subunit ribosomal RNA", at positions 355 to 896 of the family's 1533-position model. The record is from RNAcentral.